RNAcentral lists this unclassified non-coding RNA (475 nucleotides) under Hevea brasiliensis (rubber tree). The record is from RNAcentral. Lineage: Eukaryota; Viridiplantae; Streptophyta; Magnoliopsida; Malpighiales; Euphorbiaceae.
GUUGGAUAUUAUGCGUAAUGCCUAUGAUAUUCUUUCUCACUGUGAGAUCAAACUUCCAAAGAUUGAAGGUAAUGAGAAGUAUGUUGACUCUGGGCCUCCAUUUCUAAUUCUUCUCCAUCCUGCUCUAGGCCCCCUUUGGGAAGUAAUCAGACAGAAGUUCUAUCGAGGUUCUAUCUCUAAGGGUUCAGAGUUGCUAAUAGAGGUUGCUGAGUUCUUGUGGAGAGAUGUGCAGCUUGAUGGGAGUUUGAUCAUUUUAGCUGAGAAUGUUCUAGGUUCUCCAAGGAUCGAUGAAAAUGGUGAAACUGUUCUUCACUAUGGAAAAAGGUGUGGGAGAUGUAAGCUGGAGAAUGUCAAGAUAUUGAAUGAUGGAAUUGAUUGGAAUGCAAGAGAAAAUUUAUACUGGAAGCACGAUGUGCAGCGGUUUGAGGCAGUUAAGGUUAUACUUCACGGAAAUGCUGAAUUUGAAGCAGUGGAU